CGUACACUCCUGCGGGAGGCAGCAGUGGGGAAUUUUGGACAAUGGGCGAAAGCCUGAUCCAGCCAUGCCGCGUGCAGGAUGAAGGCCUUCGGGUUGUAAACUGCUUUUGUACGGAACGAAACGGCCUUUUCUAAUAAAGAGGGCUAAUGACGGUACCGUAAGAAUAAGCACCGGCUAACUACGUGCCAGCAGCCGCGGUAAUACGUAGGGUGCAAGCGUUAAUCGGAAUUACUGGGCGUAAAGCGUGCGCAGGCGGUUAUGUAAGACAGUUGUGAAAUCCCCGGGCUCAACCUGGGAACUGCAUCUGUGACUGCAUAGCUAGAGUACGGUAGAGGGGGAUGGAAUUCCGCGUGUAGCAGUGAAAUGCGUAGAUAUGCGGAGGAACACCGAUGGCGAAGGCAAUCCCCUGGACCUGUACUGACGCUCAUGCACGAAAGCGUGGGGAGCAAACAGGAUUAGAAACCCGAGUAGUCCCAU
This 477-nucleotide ribosomal RNA is filed under the name uncultured organism. Its description in RNAcentral is "partial 16S ribosomal RNA". It matches the Rfam family "Bacterial small subunit ribosomal RNA", at positions 330 to 798 of the family's 1533-position model. The record is from RNAcentral.